GACGGGGGCCCGCACAAGCGGUGGAGCAUGUGGUUUAAUUCGAUGAUACGCGAGGAACCUUACCUGGGCUCAAAUGUAUGUUGACGUAUUCUGAAAGGGAUACUUCUUCGGACAAUAUACAAGGUGCUGCAUGGUUGUCGUCAGCUCGUGCCGUGAGGUGUCGGGUUAAGUCCCAUAACGAGCGCAACCCCUAUCAUUAGUUGCCAUCAGGUCAAGCUGGGGACUCUAAUGAAACUGCCUACGCAAGUAGUGAGGAAGGUGGGGAUGACGUCAAAUCAGCACGGCCCUUACGUCCAGGGCUACACACGUGCUACAAUGGCCGGUACAAAGGGCAGCUACCUGGUGACAGGAUGCUAAUCUCAAAAGCCGGUCUCAGUUCGGAUCGGAGUCUGCAACCCGACUCCGUGAAGCUGGAGUCGCUAGUAAUCGCGCAUCAGCCAUGGCGCGGUGAAUACGUUCCCGGGCCUU
RNAcentral lists this ribosomal RNA (468 nucleotides) under uncultured Sphingobacteriales bacterium. Its description in RNAcentral is "bacterial SSU rRNA". It matches the Rfam family "Bacterial small subunit ribosomal RNA", at positions 912 to 1382 of the family's 1533-position model. Lineage: Bacteria; Pseudomonadati; Bacteroidota; Sphingobacteriia; Sphingobacteriales. The record is from RNAcentral.